Molecule: ribosomal RNA, 479 nt
Filed under: uncultured bacterium
Lineage: Bacteria
Description: partial 16S ribosomal RNA
Rfam family: Bacterial small subunit ribosomal RNA
Source: RNAcentral
UGGGGAAUUUUGGACAAUUGGGCGAAAGCCUGAUCCAGCAAUGCCGCGUGUGUGAAGAAGGCCUUCGGGUUGUAAAGCACUUUUGUCCGGAAAGAAAUCCUUGGCUCUAAUACAGUCGGGGGAUGACGGUACCGGAAGAAUAAGCACCGGCUAACUACGUGCCAGCAGCCGCGGUAAUACGUAGGGUGCAAGCGUUAAUCGGAAUUACUGGGCGUAAAGCGUGCGCAGGCGGUUUGCUAAGACCGAUGUGAAAUCCCCGGGCUCAACCUGGGAACUGCAUUGGUGACUGGCAGGCUAGAGUAUGGCAGAGGGGGGUAGAAUUCCACGUGUAGCAGUGAAAUGCGUAGAGAUGUGGAGGAAUACCGAUGGCGAAGGCAGCCCCCUGGGCCAAGUACUGACGCUCAUGCACGAAAGCGUGGGGAGCAAACAGGAUUAAUACCCUGGUAGUCCACGCCCUAAAACGAUGUCAACUAGUUGUU